This 494-nucleotide ribosomal RNA is filed under the name uncultured bacterium. Its description in RNAcentral is "partial 16S ribosomal RNA". It matches the Rfam family "Bacterial small subunit ribosomal RNA", at positions 28 to 507 of the family's 1533-position model. The record is from RNAcentral.
GACGAACGCUGGCGGCGUGCUUAACACAUGCAAGUCGAACGGAAAGGCCUGCUUUCCCUUGUGGAUUGCGGGUACUCGAGUGGCGAACGGGUGAGUACCACGUGAGUGAUCUGCCCCCAACUUGGGUAUAAGCCUGGGAAACUGUGUCUAAUCCCCGAUCGGACUGCAGGGUGGUGCCUGUGUUGGAAAACGAUUUUCUAGUGGUAGGGGAUGAGCUCGCGGCCUAUCAGCGUGUUGGUGGGGUACUGGCCUACCAAGGCGGCGACGGGUAGCCAGCCUGAGGUGGUGGACGGUGGCAUUGAGACAGGGACCAGGCUCCGACGGCUACGGGAGGCAGGGGUGGGUAAAAAUGGACCACAGGCGGGAGCCUGAUGCAGCGACGGCGUGUGGAGGGUGACGGCCUUCGAGUGGUAAUCUCCUGGCGACGACGAGGAGGACGCCUGGAUGGCAGGGUGGUGACGGUAGUGAAAGAAGAAGCACCGGCUAACUACGUG